Long non-coding RNA from Leopardus geoffroyi (Geoffroy's cat), 271 nucleotides. RefSeq lists it as uncharacterized. The transcript has 3 exons. The record is from RefSeq and is a predicted model, not a curated record. Lineage: Eukaryota; Metazoa; Chordata; Mammalia; Carnivora; Felidae.
CAAAAAUAUAACGUCCACCACACUGUCCAGCACCAGCCAGGCUAUGUUGUUCUGCUUCGUUUUGAAGGAAACGUUAUAGGGAACCAUAAUGGCGGUGUAGAAGAACAUGGAACCUGGAAAUUGUGAAAAGGAGUUGAAAGAAUAGAUCCGAGAGCUCUGCUCCAUGCCAUCAAUGAAGCUAAGGCUGAGUGAACCUAUAUAAAUUCAAACAUCCCAUGGACCCCUAAAAGCACUGUAGCCCCACACACUGUGUUUAUAGACAAGCCUGCCC